GGAUGUGGGGGCUAUCUAGAUAUGAAAUCUGUCACUCCAGUGAUUACAAUGUUGAUUUGGUGAUCUGGCUGGCUACAGGGUGUUCCUUUCCUCCCUCACUGCUCCACAGGCAUCUUUCAGGAAGCUGCAUACUCAAUCAAAGAGGACAACCUUCCCCACUAGAGGAGGAGUGAUCUUCAGUCAAAGGUAUACAAUUAGCUGUGCUCUCCUGCUAGAACCCCCAAACAAAGCUCUAAAGAUAUUAGUGGGAAAACUAGAGAAAUUUCAGUCUAUAGUUCAUGGCAUCAAUGCCAAUUUCCUCAUUAUAUAAGUAUAAUGUGGUUAUUU
Molecule: unclassified non-coding RNA, 327 nt
Organism: Ictidomys tridecemlineatus (thirteen-lined ground squirrel)
Lineage: Eukaryota; Metazoa; Chordata; Mammalia; Rodentia; Sciuridae
Gene: 7SK
Rfam family: 7SK RNA
About the family: 7SK was discovered as an abundant small nuclear RNA in the mid-70s but a possible function has only recently been suggested. Two independent studies have found that 7SK RNA binds the CDK9/cyclin T complex (known as elongation factor P-TEFb). P-TEFb activates transcription by phosphorylating the C-terminal domain of RNA polymerase II.
Source: Ensembl